RNAcentral lists this ribosomal RNA (500 nucleotides) under uncultured Glomeromycotina. Its description in RNAcentral is "partial small subunit ribosomal RNA". It matches the Rfam family "Eukaryotic small subunit ribosomal RNA", at positions 591 to 1092 of the family's 1831-position model. The record is from RNAcentral. Lineage: Eukaryota; Fungi; Glomeromycota.
CCAAUAGCGUAUAUUAAAGUUGUUGCAGUUAAAAAGCUCGUAGUUGAAUUUCGGGGUCAGUAGGUCGGUCGUGCCACUGGUAUGAACUGGUUUUACUGAUUCCUCCCUCUUGAAGAACUGUAAUGCCAUUAAUUUGGUGUUGCAGGGAAUCAGGACUGUUACUUUGAAAAAAUUAGAGUGUUUAAAGCAGGCUUUAGCUUGAAUACAUUAGCAUGGAAUAAUGAAAUAGGACGUUUGAUCCUAUUUUGUUGGUUUCUAGGAUUGACGUAAUGAUUAAUAGGGAUAGUUGGGGGCAUUAGUAUUCAAUUGUCAGAGGUGAAAUUCUUGGAUUUAUUGAAGACUAACUACUGCGAAAGCAUUUGCCAAGGAUGUUUUCAUUAAUCAAAAACGAAAGUUAGGGGAUCGAAGACGAUCAGAUACCGUCGUAGUCUUAACCAUAAACUAUGCCGACUAGGGAUCGGAUGAUGUUAAUUUUUUAAUGACUCAUUCGGCGCCUUACG